AGGGAAGGAGAGGCAAUCGCUGCCGACCACCGUAUCGGGAGAGGAAAGUCUGGACUUCACAGGAGAGGAUACCAGCGAAAGGCUGGGGGGAGCAAUCCCACGGAAAGUGUAACAGAAAGCAGUCCGCUGGCAGUCUCGGCUGCCAGGCAGGGUGAAAUGUCUGUUUCAAGAACAGGCCCCACCCAGAGUAAUCUGGGGGGCGAUAAACCCUAUCCGAAGCAAGGAAUCUUAAGCCAUCCUGUUCUCCACAGUGCUUGAGAUGCAGUCCGCUUGAGGGCCUUGGCGACAAAGUCCCUAGACGAAUGAUUGCCCUUCGACAGAAUCCGGCUUACCUCCUUCCCCUUUU
RNAcentral lists this RNase P RNA (346 nucleotides) under Chlamydiia bacterium. RNAcentral describes it as "RNase P RNA component class A". It matches the Rfam family "Bacterial RNase P class A". From Rfam's summary of the family: Ribonuclease P (RNase P) is a ubiquitous endoribonuclease, found in archaea, bacteria and eukarya as well as chloroplasts and mitochondria. Its best characterised activity is the generation of mature 5'-ends of tRNAs by cleaving the 5'-leader elements of precursor-tRNAs. Lineage: Bacteria; Pseudomonadati; Chlamydiota; Chlamydiia. The record is from RNAcentral.